AACCUGCAAAAAAGAGACUUCAUGCAGUGCUUGCUAUGCUAACUUCCCUUUCAAUUCAAGGCCAAACUCUCUCUCUCUCUCUCUCUCUCUCUCAAGGAGGCUAUUUCCUANAAACUACUCUCUCUCUCUCUCUCUCUCUCUCAAAGGAGGCAUUUUCCACUCCUUCAAUAUAACGCCAAAAAACGUUCUCUUUCUCUCUCCCAUUCUCUCUUUCACUUCUGCUUUUUGGGUUGCAGAGGCCAUUGAGGACAAGGAAG
This 257-nucleotide long non-coding RNA is filed under the name Theobroma cacao (cacao). Its description in RNAcentral is "long non-coding RNA (TCAC_LNC002258)". Lineage: Eukaryota; Viridiplantae; Streptophyta; Magnoliopsida; Malvales; Malvaceae. The record is from RNAcentral.